Molecule: ribosomal RNA, 403 nt
Filed under: uncultured bacterium
Lineage: Bacteria
Description: partial 16S ribosomal RNA
Rfam family: Bacterial small subunit ribosomal RNA
Source: RNAcentral
AUUGAACGCUGGCGGCAGGCCUAACACAUGCAAGUCGAGCGAGUGGCGGACGGGUGAGUAAUGUAUGGGGACUGCCCGAUAGAGGGGGAUAACUACUGGAAACGGUGGCUAAUACCGCAUACUAUCGGAAAAGCCAUAUGGGAUUAGCGAGUAGGCGGGGUAAAGGCUCACCUAGGCGACGAUCUCUAGCUGGUCUGAGAGGAUGAUCAGCCACACUGGAACUGAGACACGGCCCAGAUGCCGACGGGGGCAGCAUUGGGGAACAUUGCACAAUGGGCGCAAUCCUGAUGCAGACAUGCCGCGUGUAGGAAGAAGGCCUUAGGGUUGUAAAGUACUUUCAGCGGGGAGGCGGUACCCGCAGAAAAAGCACCGGCUAACUCCGUGCCAGCAGCCGCGGUAAUUC